This 1261-nucleotide ribosomal RNA is filed under the name metagenome. RNAcentral describes it as "bacterial LSU rRNA". It matches the Rfam family "Bacterial large subunit ribosomal RNA", at positions 1661 to 2925 of the family's 2925-position model. The record is from RNAcentral.
AGGUGGGUGAGUGUAAAUGCACUAAGGCGCGCGAGAGAGACCUCUCUAAGGAACUCGGCACAUUAGCCUCGUAACUUCGGGAAAAGAGGUGCUCACUUCGGUGAGCCACAGUAAAUUGCGUUUAGCGACUGUUUAACAAAAACACAGCACUCUGCUAAGUCGUUAAGACGACGUAUAGGGUGUGACACGUGACCAAUGCGGAAAGAUUAAGGCAUUUUGUUAGCCGCAAGGCGAAGCUCGGUGCCAAAGUCCCCGUGAAUGUCGGCCGUAACUAUAACGGUCCUAAGGUAGCGAAAUUCCUUGUCGGGUAAGUUCCGACCUGCACGAAUCGUGUAACGACUGAACGACUGUCUCGGAGAGGAUCUCGGCGAAACUGUAACUGCGGUGAAGAUGCCGCAUGCCCGCAGUAGGACGGAAAGACCCUAUGCACCUUUACUGUAAGCUGGUAUUGUGUUCUGAUUAAUAAUGCGUAGCGUAGGUGGGAGGCUUUGAAGUGAGUGCUUCGGUGCUCAUGGAGCCGCAAUGUGAAACACCACUCUUUGCUAAUUAGGAUUCUAACCUCGAUUCCUGUCAACCAGGCGAGGGACAGUGCUUGCGGGUCAGUUUGACUGGGGCGGUUUCCUCCCAAAGAGUAACGGAGGAGCGCGAAGCUUGGCUCAGCACGGUUGGCAACCGUGCGUCGAGCGUAUGGGUAUAAGCCAGGUUAACUGUGAGACCUACAAGUCGAGCAGAUGCGAAAGCAGGCCCAAAUGAUCCGAUGGUUUAAUGUGGAAUUGCCAUCGCUCAACGGACAAAAGGUACGCCAGGGAUAACAGGCUGAUCGGUUCCAAGAGUUCACAUCGACGAACCGGUUUGGCACCUCGAUGUCGGCUCAUCGCAUCCUGGGGCUGGAGAAGGUCCCAAGGGUCCGGCUGUUCGCCGGUUAAAGCGGUACGCGAGCUGGGUUCAGAACGUCGUGAGACAGUUCGGUCCUUAUCCACUGUGGGCGCAGGAAUCUUGAGGGGUUCAUUCUCUAGUACGAGAGGACCGAGAAUGACGCACUUCUGGUGUGGCAGUUGUUCCAUCAGGGGCAUCGCUGCGUAGCCAUGUGCUGAAGAGAUAAGCGCUGAAAGCAUCUAAGUGCCAAGCUCAUCCCAAGAUAUGGAUUCCCGGACGCAAGUCCCUAAAGACCCCCGGCAGACUACCGGGUUGAUAGGUCAGGCAUGUAAGCGUCGCGAGACGUUUAGUGGACUGAUACUAAUUGGUCGUGCGGCUUGAUCGC